RNAcentral lists this ribosomal RNA (485 nucleotides) under uncultured bacterium. RNAcentral's name for it is "bacterial SSU rRNA". It matches the Rfam family "Bacterial small subunit ribosomal RNA", at positions 8 to 483 of the family's 1533-position model. The record is from RNAcentral.
AGAGUUUGAUCCUGGCUCAGAGUGAACGCUGGCGGCAGGCCUAACACAUGCAAGUCGAACGGCAGCACAGCAGUAGCAAUACUGUGGGUGGCGAGUGGCGGACGGGUGAGGAAUGCGUCGGAAUCUGCCUUUUUGUGGGGGAUAACGUAGGGAAACUUACGCUAAUACCGCAUACGACCUACGGGUGAAAGUGGGGGACCUUCGGGCCUCACGCAGAAAGAUGAGCCGACGCCGGAUUAGCUAGUUGGCGGGGUAAAGGCCCACCAAGGCGACGAUCCGUAGCUGGUCUGAGAGGAUGAUCAGCCACACUGGGACUGAGACACGGCCCAGACUCCUACGGGAGGCAGCAGUGGGGAAUAUUGGACAAUGGGCGCAAGCCUGAUCCAGCCAUGCCGCGUGUGUGAAGAAGGCCUUCGGGUUGUAAAGCACUUUUGUCCGGAAAGAAAAGCUUCGGGUUAAUAACCUGGAGUCAUGACGUACCGAAG